UACGAAGGGGGCUAGCGUUGCUCGGAAUUACUGGGCGUAAAGCGCACGUAGGCGGCUCUUUAAGUCGGGGGUGCAAUCCUGGAGCUCAACUCCAGAACUGCCUUCGAUACUGGAGAGCUCGAGUCCGGGAGAGGUGAGUGGAACUGCGAGUGGAGAGGGGAAAUGCGUAGAUAUGCGCAAGAACGCCAGUGGCGAAGGCGGCUCACGGGCCCGGUACUGACGCUGAGGUGCGAAAGCGUGGGGAGCAAACAGG
RNAcentral lists this ribosomal RNA (253 nucleotides) under uncultured bacterium. RNAcentral describes it as "partial 16S ribosomal RNA". It matches the Rfam family "Bacterial small subunit ribosomal RNA", at positions 524 to 776 of the family's 1533-position model. The record is from RNAcentral.